This 254-nucleotide ribosomal RNA is filed under the name uncultured bacterium. RNAcentral describes it as "partial 16S ribosomal RNA". It matches the Rfam family "Bacterial small subunit ribosomal RNA", at positions 524 to 776 of the family's 1533-position model. The record is from RNAcentral.
UACGUAGGUGGCAAGCGUUGUCCGGAUUCACUGGGCGUAAGCGCGCGCAGGCGGUCUUCUACGUCUGGGGUGAAAACCCCGGGGCUCAACCCCCGGGAUGCCCUUGGAUACGGGAAGACUUAAGGAUCGGAGAGACAAGGGGAAUUCCACGUGUAGCGGUGAAAUGCGUAGAGAUGUGGAGGAACACCUGUGGCGAAGGCGCCUUGCUGGCCGAUUUCUGACGCUGAGGCGCGAAAGCGUGGGGAGCAAACAGG